RNAcentral lists this ribosomal RNA (111 nucleotides) under Ancylostoma ceylanicum. Lineage: Eukaryota; Metazoa; Nematoda; Chromadorea; Rhabditida; Ancylostomatidae. The record is from RNAcentral.
GAUCGUGGCAACACAAAGUGCUAGCUCUAUUACUGAAUACUAACCAGGCCCAACGUUGCAUAACUUGCCAGAUCGGACGGGAUGGCAAAGGACCGGUACAGAAAUGUACCU